Molecule: non-coding RNA, 143 nt
Filed under: Polytomella parva
Lineage: Eukaryota; Viridiplantae; Chlorophyta; Chlorophyceae; Chlamydomonadales; Chlamydomonadaceae
Source: RNAcentral
AAAUAUAAAAACAGCGAAAGGAAAAAGAAGAAAGAAAAAACAAAGAUGAAGCGUCUGCAACGAGAAAGGAACCAAUCCUUAGCUACUCUUUUAGAUUCCGUUUUCUUCGCGGUAUCCGGAUAUUCCUCCUUUUCUCCUCCUCC